Molecule: ribosomal RNA, 497 nt
Filed under: uncultured bacterium
Lineage: Bacteria
Description: partial 16S ribosomal RNA
Rfam family: Bacterial small subunit ribosomal RNA
Source: RNAcentral
GAUGAACGCUGGCGGCGUGCCUAAUACAUGCAAGUCGAGCGAACAGACGAGGAGCUUGCUCCUCUGACGUUAGCGGCGGACGGGUGAGUAACACGUGGAUAACCUACCUAUAAGACUGGGAUAACUUCGGGAAACCGGAGCUAAUACCGGAUAAUAUAUUGAACCGCAUGGUUCAAUAGUGAAAGACGGUUUUGCUGUCACUUAUAGCUGGAUCCGCGCCGCAUUAGCUAGUUGGUAAGGUAACGGCUUACCAAGGCGACGAUGCGUAGCCGACCUGAGAGGGUGAUCGGCCACACUGGAACUGAGACACGGUCCAGACUCCUACGGGAGGCAGCAGUAGGGAAUCUUCCGCAAUGGGCGAAAGCCUGACGGAGCAACGCCGAGUGAGUGAUGAAGGUCUUCGGAGCGUAAAACUCUGUUAUUAGGGAAGAACAAAUGUGUAAGUAACUAUGCACGUCUUGACGGUACCUAAUCAGAAAGCCACGGCUAACUACGUG